This 440-nucleotide ribosomal RNA is filed under the name uncultured bacterium. RNAcentral's name for it is "bacterial SSU rRNA". It matches the Rfam family "Bacterial small subunit ribosomal RNA", at positions 958 to 1387 of the family's 1533-position model. The record is from RNAcentral.
AACGCGAAGAACCUUACCUGGGCUCGAAGCGCAGUGGACCGGGGUAGAAAUAUCCCUUCCUCGCAAGAGGCUGCUGCGGAGGUGCUGCAUGGCUGUCGUCAGCUCGUGUCGUGAGAUGUUGGGUUAAGUCCCGCAACGAGCGCAACCCUUAUCCCUAGUUGCCAUCGGGUCAAGCCGGGCACUCUAGUGAAACCGCCCAGGAUAACGGAGAGGAAGGUGGGGAUGACGUCAAGUCAGCACGGCCUUUAUGUCCAGGGCUACACACGUGUUACAAUGCAUGGUACAAACCGUCGCGAACCUGCGAAGGGGAGCUAAUCGGAAAAACCAUGCUCAGUUCGGAUUGCAGUCUGCAACUCGACUGCAUGAAGCCGGAAUCGCUAGUAAUGGCGUAUCAGAACGACGCCGUGAAUACGUUCCCGGGCCUUGUACACAGACUGUAC